This 47-nucleotide transfer RNA is filed under the name Drosophila funebris. Its description in RNAcentral is "tRNA-Ser". Lineage: Eukaryota; Metazoa; Arthropoda; Insecta; Diptera; Drosophilidae. The record is from RNAcentral.
CAUAUGUUUUGAAAACAUAAGAUAGAAAAUAAAUUUUCUAUUAACUU